RNAcentral lists this non-coding RNA (46 nucleotides) under Trypanosoma brucei brucei. The record is from RNAcentral. Lineage: Eukaryota; Euglenozoa; Kinetoplastea; Trypanosomatida; Trypanosomatidae.
UAUAAAAUAACAUAGUAAUGGUUUUAGUGAUGAUAUUGUGAUAUAU